This 72-nucleotide transfer RNA is filed under the name Acidobacteriota bacterium. RNAcentral's name for it is "Acidobacteria bacterium (wastewater metagenome) tRNA-Lys". It matches the Rfam family "tRNA". From Rfam's summary of the family: Transfer RNA (tRNA) molecules are approximately 80 nucleotides in length. Their secondary structure includes four short double-helical elements and three loops (D, anti-codon, and T loops). Lineage: Bacteria; Pseudomonadati; Acidobacteriota. The record is from RNAcentral.
GAGUCCGUGGCCUAAUGGCAAGGCAGCGGCCUUUUAAGCCGUGAGAUGUGGGUUCAACUCCCACCGGACUCA